CCUAAAAAGAACAAUGGUGGCACACAUCUGUGAUUGAGGCUCCCAGGGUUCCCUCAGCACUCUCCUCAUUUUAAAGCUACACACAAACUAGUGAAACAAAAAUCCAUCCACGUACAUCACACCAGCCCAGUCAUUCUCGCAAGGCUCAACUGCUGACAUUUGGUACAAGCAGUUUACAGCUCCUAGACACAAGAACCACCUGCUGUCAGUUUCACAGCAAGUCAAACCUGGAAUCUGACUCUCCUGAACACAUUCAGCCAAUGGUGCACAUUCAGGAUUCUCCUUUGGUUUCAUCUCUGGAUAAAAGAGACACUCCCCAGUCAGUGCUGUGAGCAGCACUCACUCCUGAUGCACAACUUGUACUUUCAGGAGAGCUCUCUCCUGUACGGCAACAAACCCCACUGCAUCUUGUUCACACAAUGCGAUCACUGCCUGCUCCGCUACGUUUUCAGGCCCAUCACCGUCAGAAAACCUGUUUCUAACACAAAAAAAAAGGCAUCUCCUGCUUCCAGAUAGAGGAGGAGUGGCUAUAACCUAACUAUAAACCUCAACAACAGGUCAAGAAGAGCUGCUAAGAAUUAAUGUUUGGAAACAAACAGCUGAACAUGCUUUUCUCCAGUGUCCUCAGGAUUCUGUACAACAAACUGUACAAUGCUGCUCCAAAUGCCUUUUUCUUUAAGGCCCCAGAAAGUGCAACAUUUCUCCAUGUACUCUGCCAUCUCUGCACUCGAAACCCUGAACCCUUACUGGGCUGUGACAUUCAGGUGACUGUUCUGUAUUUCAGUCAGAUUCUUCAGCCGGCAGGAACAAAGCACGUCUGUACCGCCCAAAGCAAUAACUCCAGCCCUGCUAUCCUCACUGCCACAGCUCCUUUCAGCUGCCUUUACUUCUCCUCCUGAAGUCACGUUUAGGGAAACAGCUCAGAAUUAACAUCCCUUACUAAAAGAAGCACCCUAGAAUUCAUGAGCUGCAUUUUAUGUUGGCUGUUUGCAGUUUCAUUCUACUGUAUGUAAAGAAAACCACCACCUGCUAACAGGCUUUUUUUAAUGAUCAGGAAACACAGAGCAGGAAGCUUUACCACAAAGACCAGCACACUGAAAGCUAAGGAAGAAGCAGCAGCAGAACUUCAGAGAUGCUGCCCUGGUAUGGACAGACCCUUUAUUUGUAUUUAUGAGGUAGCGGCAACUUCAUUUAAUGCUUUAACAGCCCUACAGCUCCAAAUGCGUAGGGUUCAGCUGACAGCACUCCUGCUCCUGAAGGCUCCAUGUAUCAGCACAGAAGUGACCAGCACCCCAUUACCACAUCUUCAUCUGCAUCCAACUGCCUGUCUCACGUCUGCUUAGAUACCCAGCACCACAAAGGGCAGCCUCAGCACACAACGGGAACACCUGCCUGUCACCCCUGACAGCACAGCCAGGUACACCACUGGGUUUCUGGCUCAAAGUUAUAACACUCAGCAGCGUUUUUGUACCUCUGGCACUGAAGGCAAAACUCCACUAAGGCUUUUCCAAAUACCAUUUACAGCUCUGAGACUCACUGUCACAUUCUGACGUAUCCCAGCAGUUUUACCACAAACAUUAUGGAUGGCACUGAGAACACAAACCAAUCACUGCUUCUCCUGGAGGCCCACAAACCAGGACACCGAAUUGUAUCCUGCCCUGCUGAGACCCACCAAUACCUCACUACCACUCUUAGUUGGUUUCUUCCAGUCCUGCUCUCACUCUACACUGUGUAUUCUGCACUCCAGUUCAAACAUAGCCCUACUGAUGGGGAGGUUUUGCUUCUGAGGAUUCCAUUCUCAUACAGAAAAAACGUGCUCAUGUAUUUUACGUGCAAGCACAUCCACCACUUCAGCCUUCCAGAUUUGUUUUCUGUAGCACACAGCUGCAGAUGGAACUGGAGAAGGCUCUGGUGAGAUCCUCAAUGCAGCAGCACUAUGGAAGCAGGGCUGUGCUGAAUACAUGCGCCUGCAGGCAAAGCCCUGAACUGCCCCAAAGCUCCAGAGGGUUCAGAUGCCUUUUUCUACAAGUAAUUUAAGUAGAAUGCACUGCAGGCCAGAAAAAUAGAGCCGCUCAUUGUGCUUUAACUGUAUCUACUGUACAGAACACUUAUUUCUUGCCUGCAAACAGCAUGGACCUAUUUGCCCAGGUGCCAAGCUUGAUAACUGGUUGCAUCACUUUUUCUAGUGAAAUAACUAAUUAAGAAUACAGCCUCUUAAGUAUUUCUUCCUAGAAAUUUAUUAUCACUUCCCAUCUUUCUUCUAUAGGAGAGUCAGGGCACAACUGGGAACCUUCCACUGCUGUCAAAGAAUAAUGGUGAACAGCAGUAACGAGACUCAGUGUCACUUUAAUUCUGUCCUCAUCUGUCCGCUAAAAGCAGGAAAACAAAGCAGCAGGCAACAGGAGAGCCCACAGCCUCCCUGUACACUUCAAUUACCAGCCACACUUCUGCUCACUCAGGAAAGCACUGCUGUACAGUUACAUGAUCCUGGGACUGUUGGACUCCCUCAGUACUUUAAAAGAAAUCAGUAGGGAAACAGCAAACUGAACACCAGGGACUGCUGAAAUUCAGAGCUUCGAAAAGGAGCUACAACGUAACAUCUGAUAUUUACAGAUGACAUGUUAGGGACUGAAAUUAUUACUUCAGGAGCCAUAGACAGGAACACAGCAUUUCCAGCCUUCUCACACAGCAUGUUGGGGCCACAAUAUUAAGAUUUAGGGCAUCUUUAGGCUGCUUAAUAGUACAGAAUUGAUCAAGAUAGGGAACAACAGAACAGCUCCAUGACCUACACAGAAUCCAACCUAAACUUAACCAGCAACACAGGUAAGAAUAUCAUCAUAUCCUGAAACCUGAACUGUCACAGCAACAACCACCCACUGUCCAACACACCUGGAGUCACACACAAGGGGAGUUGCCCAACUCCUUCCCUAACCUCCAAUUCUGGGAGCCUUUCAGGCACAACCCUGAAGAAAAAGAGAAGAAAUCCUACAGUUCCUGAACCUAACGGACAGAAUAAAUGACUGCUUACAGAUUUAAGGUCUCCCAAUCAACAGUGCAGUAACUCCAGUCCUUACAGCACGCUACUCCACCAGCUCACUAGCAGCAUCUUGUUCCUCUCAUCAUUUAAGCUACCAAGAUGCAGACUACCUUCCUGAUAUGUAAUUACGGAUCCAUUUCUUUCUCAAAUUAAGCCACUGAACAGUAUCUGGGGACUGCAUGAUAUCAUAACAUCUCUUCUGCCCGCAGUGGGAUGCUGGUACUCAUGGAGCACUGUCUUCAGAGAACAGACAGUUUCGUACUGCAGCACACACCUUCACAGUGCUGUCUAGUUUUACAACAGCACUCCGUGUACAUCAGCCUCAGAAAACCACAGUGUGUGUUUCAUUACUCUGAAACAGAAAGUGCUUCCCAGAAGUGGCUGAAGGCACUUAGAAUCGCUCACUGCAGCAUCUGUGUGAGGAUGAAAUCCCAGACAACUGCCUUGGCUUUAGAACAGCCACAGCCCCACACCUGACCACCCCUGCAGUGUUACUGCGAGGCACCCUGCUUGCUGUUACUCUGCUUCCCUGCCUGUUGCAGGAGAACACAUUGAGGAAAACUGACUGUAAGAAUCAGCUUCCUAAGGACCAGAAAAUGUACCCUGGAGAGCAGAAAACGUGCAAGUACUCCUAGUCCCUCUAACAGCAUUCCUCCUCUUUAACCUGAAUAGAAGAUGCUUUGAUUAAACCAUUCAGGAAAUGGUUCAAGCUCACCAAGUACCUGAAGAACCAGAUAUUCACAGCCAUUAAAAAUAGCAGCUGCUUCAUAACAUCAACUUAAGCACCCGAUCUCACAAGAAGUGAGAUUUCUGUAGGAAAACAGAAGCAUUCGGAUCAUACUGGGGGGAAACUCCUCUCUAUCCCUCCUUGAAGAGAAUUCUCUGACCCUUCAGGUUGAGGUGAUGGCCAUUAGAAAGGCAGCUGAUCCGGUGAAAAGAUGAAAGACCACACAAGUGAGGCUUCCGAAUGAUUAAGUCCAUAACUACUGCACUACUGAACUGUGUGAGAAGGAGGACAACUGGAUCUCCUGUUAUUUUCCUAAGAGCAAUACACAGGAGCAGCACAUCUCUGCUGUACAAGAGAACAGUGAGCUGUUACUAACACCAAAGUGCAUGCAAAGGAAGCGUAACACGCAAUACUAAGUAAUCCAGAACAUCACAUUUUCAGAACAUUUUUGUCUUAUGAGAGAUGUUACCUGGCUUGUACUGCCUGGUUUAACAUGUUCUACCAUGGUCUCACUAGUGAAUUCAGAAGGUGGGAGAGACUAAGAACCAUCAGAGUGAUUUAAUGUUUGAUGCACCAGGCCCAAAGACGUUUCCCUUUCUAAAAAGAUCAAUUCACUCUAACAAGGCAUUAUUAAGACACUAUGAGAACAUGGAUUAUUAAGUCUCUGAUUACUCCUAACACAGCCUUAUAGCUCAGCCCGACAGAGCUCCACCUGAAGUUCCUACUGUCAGAACUCCACAAUUUUAGAGCUACAAGUUAUAUAUCCGACAUCUAGUUUAUACGUGUACUCCCUGCCGAAGGGGAGGAAAACAAUCAGAAAAUGACUACCAAAGGUUUUUACUGCUCACCAUUAAAUGAAAGUCAGAAGUGCUUUCUAUGCACUGAUACAUGGCUGCCCAUCAUCCUAAAUACACAUCUCUCGAGGAACAGCAUGGGCUAAUUAAGGCAGACACAGUCUACUCCAGUCAAUACUCACUUGGUAUGUGAGAGUGUAGCUCACCAUCCCCCCAGGCCCUUCAGUGUGCACAGCCCAACCUGCUUGAUUUUGCACAUCUUAACUGGCUUCUGAAAAGCAUCAAAGCACACUGGGAUAAACACUAUUCCUAAGAAAUACCCAUGUACAAAGUUAUCCAACACCAACACACACUUUGUCACAAAUAAUCUGCAUCAGGAAACGCAAAGGAAGCUAUUCUGGAUUCCUUAAUGAUACACUGUAAGUCUGUAGGUUUGCAUGUAAAGCAGCAUCUCUAAUACCAGAGAUAACUAAGAAUGUUCAGAAAGGCUUCUGCCAAAACACUCAGGCUUCCUCUCAAAGGAAGUACCACGAAUACAGCACAGACUAAGCAGACUCACAGACCUCCCCGAAGAGACCCGAUUUCUCCAUGAGAAGAAGGCACAAAGAACAGAACGCACCACUGAAGCCCGGCCUCACUGCAGAGCCUUCCAUCUAUGCUAGUAACAGAUGUCUGUAGUCUGCCCACUGAACACAAGGCUGGGAUAGAACCAACUACACCACAUGGUUAUAAGGGUCUUAAACUAGGGAUUACUAGGUGAGACUUUCAAACAGUCAAAGCAGUUGUUAAUAACAAGCCUGCAAGAGGAAGCUACAGAACUCAACGCAGUGUGAGGAUAACCACCUGCUGCCACUUGCCUGGCUAACCCGAUCAAUCAACACAAUGCAAAAUGAACUUCUGGCACACACAUAAUCCAAGUGAACAUUCCUGCCCUUACUGCAAACUCCAAAUUAUUAAGACGUGGCUCUUGCAUAUCUUGAAGAUCACAAUCUGACGCACAGACUCAUCAAUACUGUCUCCUUGAGUAUUUCUGUUCAUUUUAUUCAGAGUGAACAGUUCUCCCCACUGAAGAACAGUCAGUCCUCCAUCAGAAUCCCAUUUUUAUCCUCUUGCCAGCUUUUUGCUGGUGCUCUGGGUAAUAUAUGCCUGAAAAUCCUCCCAUCAGCUUUUCUUGUUAGAAGGUAAGAAAGCUUCUUUCCUAGUUCUUCAACGAGAUGAAAAAGGACCACCCCUCUUCAAAGGUGAUGCUACUGUUCUUGGCUACUUGAUCCUGCUGCUGAAGUCUAACCCUUCACAUAAGGCAAGCGUGGUACAAGCCAUGCUUCUAUGGAACUUGUAAGAGAUUUAAGACAUCCCUGUCUCAGUUGACACAGAAAAUCUGGCAGUAACAACUCCAUCUUCCAUACUUUAUUUUUUUUAAAUGCUGAGCAGUUUGACCCCCAGUAUCAGAACAGCUCUUGCUUCUUCGGGAUCAAAAAUCAUCACGAAUCACCUCCUGGCUCUUUGAGGAAACCUCUCUCCAGGUCUUCAGGACAAAAACCAAAGCCUCCUGUAGCCAGAGAAGAACGGCAUGUCACAGCACAGCUCUUAGGACUUGAGACACUAUCUCACCUUCUUGCCUGUGCUGCUCACGUGUGACAGACUUGCCCAUAAAUGGCCACAGAAGACGCUGUUUGACAUGAGCAGCAUUUCUUUCUGGACUGCUCCAGGUGGAACAUGGCCCAAUUUCUGUAAGCUUCUUUCAUAUGGAACUGGAUAAAGCCCAUCACAUGAUGGGGCAGUGCAACACGGCCAGCUCUGCUAAUCACUAUGGAAUCUCAAGAUGAACUUAACCCCAAAGAUAAGCAAUUUGGCAGGACUACAACUCAGAGCAGCAGUGAAGAAAUAAAAGGCUUUUUAAAGCUUGAGAUUCUUCCACCGUCAUUUUCUGGCUGGAAGCCCUGCUGACCUAAACCCAGAAAGCAGAGAGAACUGAAAAUGAAAACAAAAUUAAAGAAAAUAAAAGAAUCCACACCUACAAUAAACUCCAUGCUUUCAAAACUGCUACACACGAGGAACAGGAACACCCUGUGAGGUUGUGUUUGGGAGCAGCACCAAGACAUUCAGAACAGACGUUAGGUGCUCUAUGGGCUCCAUGCUCACAAUGAGACACAAACACAACUGUAAUCUGCACAGAUGAGGCACCUCAAAGCUUUGAAGAACCACAAAGAAGAACAGAAUGGCACCAAGGUGAACUGCUGUAGGCUGGUUUCCAACAACUUAUCCUAGAUAACCAGCAUUACACCACACAGAACAGAAGAUACGUAGGUAUAGGAAUGCAAUUAAGAUGAGUAAUUCCAAGAAUACAUUUUACCUCAUCACCCUGCUGACAGGUGACUAUACAGAGAAUAGGGGAACUUGUCUGUAGUAUUCAGAUAAACGCUCACUAUUGAAAUAAUGCAAAUGAGCUUUAGAUUUUCCUCAAGUAUCUCACUCCUCUACUGAACACCUAAUAAAUACAAAUGAAUCUAAACUCCAGAGUUUUAAAGCUCCCAGUAUUUACUUCUUUUACACCGAUAAACCAUCUCUAUAGAAAUCCAUGCACAAAUGAACACAACGUGCCAGGCACUUCUACAUGCUUCAAUACAAAGUCACGUAAUUGAACUCUGCACAGAACUGAUAACCAUAAUUAAUUUCACUUCCAUCCAUUUAGGAGGUAUUCCAUCUUUUUAAGGAAACCAUCCUUAAAGUAACUUUUCGAUGUAUGCAUACACACAAGAUGAAAGCACUGAACUCCAUCUGCUCAUUUUUGUUAAGUCUCAUUUCCAGUUUUGAUGUAUUGCUGCCUUUCACCAUUUCAGAGAACAUUUCUAGAGAAUAAACUACCAUCCACUGCAGUUUUGUUUGCAUUUCAGUGAAGCUCAGACGGACACUGGGCAGAUGAUACUGCAGAUCUAGACCUGGUUUACUGAUAUGACAUCUCAAAGGGCCCGAAAUCAAACACCGAAAGCCACACUCAGGUCACAACCACCAGCUUGAGUCCUAACACAUUACCCUGUGAGAAGAUUCAUAAAAGAAAGAAGGGGUGGAGGAUUGUGGUGGGGAUAAGGACCUACUCUAGGGCAGCACUGAGAGGAAGCAUGAAAGAAGGCAGCAGAAUAAAGCCAAGCAUUCUAAAAACAAGGAAUGAUUUCCAGGAAAAAAA
Molecule: non-coding RNA, 7742 nt
Organism: Coturnix japonica (Japanese quail)
Lineage: Eukaryota; Metazoa; Chordata; Aves; Galliformes; Phasianidae
Source: RefSeq, a predicted model, not a curated record